RNAcentral lists this ribosomal RNA (277 nucleotides) under uncultured bacterium. Its description in RNAcentral is "partial 16S ribosomal RNA". It matches the Rfam family "Bacterial small subunit ribosomal RNA", at positions 65 to 339 of the family's 1533-position model. The record is from RNAcentral.
CACAAGACUGAAUCUGGAUUCCCAUCUAGUGGCAGACGGGUGAGUAACACGUGGGUGACCUACCUUUUCGUUGGGGAUAACAGUUGGAAACGAUUGCUAAUACCGAAUAAAAUGUAAGAGUCAAUUUUACAUUGAAAGGAGCCUUUAAAGCUUCGCGAUUAGAUGGGCCUGCGGCGUAUUAACUAGUUGGUGAGGUAAUGGCUUACCAAGGUGACGAUGCGUAGCCGAACUGAGAGGUUGAUCGGCCACACUGGAACUGAGACACGGUCCAGACUCC